Molecule: ribosomal RNA, 496 nt
Filed under: uncultured bacterium
Lineage: Bacteria
Description: bacterial SSU rRNA
Rfam family: Bacterial small subunit ribosomal RNA
Source: RNAcentral
AGUUUGAUCAUGGCUCAGGAUGAACGCUGGCGGCGUGCCUAAGGUAUGCAAGUCGAGCGAUUUAUUUUUCUAUUGAUCAGAGUAGCAAUACUUUGUGAUUUAGAUUUUUAAAUAGCGGCAGACGGCUGAGUAAUGUAUAGAUACUUACCCAUAAGAUGUGGAACAGCUCACCGAAAGGUGGGGUAAUGCACAAUGUGAUCUACGGAUUAAAGACGAAAGUCACUUACGGAGAGGUCUAUAUCCUAUCAGGUUGUUGGUGAGGUAAUGGGCUCACCAAGCCUACGACGGGUAACUGGGUCUGAGAGGAUGACCAGUCAGACCGGGACUGAGAAACGGCCCGGACUCCUACGGGAGGCAGCAAUCAGGAAUCUUGGACAAUGGACGAAAGUCUGAUCCAGCGACGCCGCGUGGAGGAUGAAGGUCUUCGGAUUGUAAACUCCUUUUAUCAGAGAACAAAGUAUGAGUAUCUGAUGAAUAAGCGACUCCUAACUUCGUG